This is an RNA transcript of Sciurus carolinensis (gray squirrel), 2393 nucleotides long. It is a transcript of the gene named cyclin dependent kinase 20, with no coding region annotated. The record is from RefSeq and is a predicted model, not a curated record. The transcript has 9 exons. NCBI's taxonomy places the organism in Eukaryota, Metazoa, Chordata, Mammalia, Rodentia, Sciuridae.
GAGCGCGCAACGUCUGCCCUCUUUACGCGACGUUGGGGCGGUGCGGAGGACUCGCAGGCCGCCAGUCCACCGUAGCACCCGCGGCUGGCGCGUGGAGUUAAGCUGGCUGCUGCGUGAUGGCGGAAACGCGCGGUCGAACCCGGAACAACCGUCCUUGACCCAACGCAGCUUCAGUCUUCCGGGUCACGUGCCCCCGCAGCGCCGCCCCGGACCCUGCAGGCCCCCAGUUGCUAGGCAACCGCGUCUGCUCUCCGGACGGCGCGGGCGAUAAAGAGUGGGAUCUAGGAGCUCCCGGGGCGCUGAUGGACCAGUAUUGCAUCCUGGGCCGCAUCGGGGAGGGCGCGCAUGGCAUCGUCUUCAAGGCCAAGCACAUAGAGACUGGCGAGAUCGUUGCCCUCAAGAAGGUGGCUCUGCGGCGGCUGGAGGAUGGCAUCCCCAACCAGGCCCUGCGGGAGAUCAAGGCUUUGCAGGAAAUUGAGGAUAAUCAGUAUGUGGUGCAGCUGAAGGCCGUGUUCCCGCAUGGAGCAGGCUUCGUGCUGGCCUUCGAGUUCAUGCUGUCAGACCUGGCAGAGGUGGUGCGCCAUGCCCAGAGGCCACUGGCUCCAGCACAGGUUAAGAGCUACCUGCAAAUGCUGCUCAAGGGUGUUGCCUUCUGCCAUGCCAACAACAUCGUGCACCGGGAUCUAAAACCUGCUAAUCUGCUCAUCAGUGCCUCAGGCCAGCUCAAGAUAGCGGACUUUGGCCUGGCCCGGGUCUUUUCUCCAGAUGGCAGCCGCCUCUACACACAUCAGGUAGCCACCAGGUGGUACCGAGCCCCUGAGCUCCUAUAUGGUGCCCGCCAGUAUGACCAGGGUGUUGACCUAUGGGCUGUGGGCUGCAUCAUGGGGGAGCUAUUGAAUGGAUCUCCUCUUUUCCCGGGAGAGAACGACAUUGAACAGCUUUGCUGUGUGCUUCGCAUCUUGGGCACCCCCAGCCCUCAAGUCUGGCCGGAGAUCACAGAGCUGCCUGACUACAACAAGAUCUCCUUUAAGGAACAGGCGCCAGUGCCCCUGGAGGAGGUGCUGUCAGACGCCUCUCCUCAGGCCUUGGACCUGCUGGGUCAGUUUCUCCUCUACCCUCCUCGCCAGCGCAUUGCAGCCUCCAAGGCCCUCCUGCAUCAGUACUUCUUCACAGCUCCUCUGCCUGCCCACCCAUCUGAGCUGCCGAUUCCCCAGCGCCCAGGGGGGCCUGCUCCCAAGGCUCACCCGGGACCUCCUCAUGUCCAUGACUUCCAUGUGGACCGGCCUCUUGAGGAGUCGCUGUUGGACCCAGAACUAAUUCGGCCCUUUAUCCCAGAGGGGUGAGACUUUGGCCCAGGUCCUGCCUGUCCCCCAGAAGUACCUGGGCUGCUUGUUCGCCUGUCUCCUGCCUGAUUCCACUUUCCAAGGCCUUCCAUAGCCAUACUGGACUCACUCCACACCUGCCUUGCUCCCACUGUGACCUGCUCCUCAGCCCCCUUGAUGAGGGUUCCAAGGUUCCAAGGAAGCAGAGUUCACAUUUCAGCCAAGGCAAUGAGGAUGUCUAGCCAAGCAGAGGAGGAGACCAUGGCCUUCUGACCAGUAGGAACAGUGUGCUGCACUACUGUCCGGGGACCACUCUGCAGUGGUACUGCUGGUUCUCAAUGCACUGCCUCCUCAAGGACAUUCCUGUUAGAACCAGCUGGGGAAGUGUGGAGAGUGACAUGUCCACAUGUUGGAAACUUGCGUGGAAAGGCAGGCUUGUUUUGGUUCUCAGAGACAGAAGAUGGUAGAAGUGGCACUGUCUCAUGGCCCUGUUUAUAGGGAUCACCAGAAAGGUGACUCCAGUCACAGCUGCUUUUGCCCUGAGGGCUUCCUGUGUGCUUCACAAGACUGAAUGCUCAUCUGGAAAUGAGGGAGACAGAAGUCCAGGUCCAGGGAUGGGCAGACUGAGGAUUCAGCAGCAAAGCCUUCACCUAUUAGGAUGUUACUAACAGCCACUCCUCAGGAUGAGGGUGAACCAGAAGCAGCUGUGCAAGUAGGGAAAACUGGCAUACCUGGAAUUUAUUUAUUCAAUAAAUCCUAGUACAACCCCAGUCGAUACAUAUAUUUUUAUUUGAUAGUAAUUUGGUAAGCUGAUUCCAAAAAUAUAUGGGGAUGCAAAGGACCAAAAGGAGGAAGAAGAGGUGAUGAUCAAAUAACUUACCAGGUGUCAAGACUUACUAUAAAGUCACAUAAUGACUAGGACAAUGGGCUUUGGUUCAGGGAGAGAGAAGAACAGAGAGAAACCUAAUCAUAGCUGUCCUUUAUUCUUUUUUGUCAGGGGUGGGGGUACCAGGGAUUGAACUCAGGGACACUUGACCAUGGAGCUACAUCUGCAGCCCAUUUUGUGUUUUA